AGCAGCCGCGGUAAUCCCAGCUCCAAUAGCGUAUAUUAAAGUUGUUGCAGUUAAAAAGCUCGUAGUUGAAUUUCGGGACCAAUUUGUUGGUCGUGCUUCGGUACGUACUGGUAUUAUUGGUUUCUCCCUUCUGAAGAACCUUGAUGUCAUUAAUUUGGUGUCUUGGGGAAUCAGGACUGUUACUUUGAAAAAAUUAGAGUGUUUAAAGCAGGCAUACGCUUGAAUACAUUAGCAUGGAAUAAUGAAAUAGGACGUUUGAUUCUAUUUUGUUGGUUUCUAGGAUCGACGUAAUGAUUAAUAGGGAUAGUUGGGGGCAUUAGUAUUCAAUUGUCAGAGGUGAAAUUCUUGGAUUUAUUGAAGACUAACUACUGCGAAAGCAUUUGCCAAGGAUGUUUUCAUUAAUCAAGAACGAAAGUUAGGGGAUCGAAGACGAUCAGAUACCGUCGUAGUCUUAACCAUAAACUAUGCCGACUAGGGAUCGGAUGAUGUUAAUUUUUAAUGACUCAUUCGGCGCCUUACG
Molecule: ribosomal RNA, 520 nt
Filed under: uncultured Glomus
Lineage: Eukaryota; Fungi; Glomeromycota; Glomeromycetes; Glomerales; Glomeraceae
Description: SSU rRNA
Rfam family: Eukaryotic small subunit ribosomal RNA
Source: RNAcentral